Long non-coding RNA from Acinonyx jubatus (cheetah), 4779 nucleotides. RefSeq lists it as uncharacterized. The transcript has 6 exons. The record is from RefSeq and is a predicted model, not a curated record. Lineage: Eukaryota; Metazoa; Chordata; Mammalia; Carnivora; Felidae.
GCGCGGGAGGGCGCGGGAGGGCGCGGGAGGGCGCGGGCUCCGGGGCUCUCGCGCGACGCGCGCCCCCGCCGUGCUGCCGCUCCCGGCUCCCUCCGCCGCCGUCCCGCGGGCACCCGUGGCUGCUGGGCCCGGACGCCGAGCUCGUGCAGCCCGCCGAGCGCCUUAGCGGGUGGUGCCUGCCCGAGGCCCGGCCUGCGCUUGGCUAAGAUGCUAAGGUCCCGCCUCGCGUCGCUGGUGCCGGGAUUCGUUAGGUUAGGCCUGGGCUCCCAAGCCACCCAAGCGGCCUCUACCUUUCCAUCUGGUUAUCAAGACACACCACGGAGCGUCUGUACACUGCGGGGUGCUGGGGACCCAGCCCAGCCCGCCCGGUCCCUGCCAGGGGCCGUGGCAUGUCACGUUGGUGAAGGGUCGGGGUCGGGGGCGCCUGAAACAGCCACUCACAGGUGCUGACGGCAGUUGCAGACACAGGACCCCGAGGAGAGAGGGCCCCCCACCCCCCACCUCGGCUGGGGUUGGAUGCACUUCCCGGAGAGACAUGUGGAAACAUCCAGCAGAGGAUACAGAGGCAAGUCCAGCGGCUGAGAGGGGCAGCCUCUUUGCUUCUGAGCCAACUCACAGAGUGAGAACUCCCUCCUGUUGGCCCCCAAGCUGCUCACCCAUCCCUAAUACUUAAGCAGCUUGGUCCAGACUGGUUUUGGAUGGAAAACCAGACCCAGAACUGGAGUAGUCCAGGGAGAAAGUUUCUUGGCAGUUUUCUUUGUCCUGGGACUGUUGUCUCCUGCAAGAGGCACGACUGAAUGCUGAAGACCCAUCAGUAUGGGGAGGGGCCCCGUGCCCACCUCAGCCAGCCCCCCAGUGGGCCCAGCCCCCCGCGGAACGCAGCUGCAUGGAGCCUGGCCAACCCACAGGAUUGUGGAAAAUAAUAACUCCUCGCUUCUUCAGCCAUUCAGUUUGGGCAUAGCCCACCAUACAGCAAUAGAGAACCUACAAUGGAUCACCCACACCACUAGCCUGUGUGACCGUGGCCCUCGGGAGGUUGGCUGCAGUGUGAGAGCCCCCAUUUGAUGGUUGCGCAAACUGAGAUGCAGAGGGACGCUAGUUCAUAAAAUCACACGGAGAACUGACAGAAGCUCAGAAACCCACUCGCAUUUGACAGAGCAGCGCGGAAGCUUGUGAAUGUGGGAGAGCUGCGGCAGAGCUGAGGCUCCCUACCCUCCGGCCACCCCAAGAUCUCCGCGGAGCCUGCGCUGUAAAGCUUUUUCUCAUGCUGAUUCCUCCGCUUGCAGUGCCUUUCCUGGUGAAGGAGGAAGGGAGAAAGAGGCCACGCGCUGGCUGGACCAGGCCCAGCGAGGAAUUCCCCCUCUGACCUACAGUUCCGAAUCCCUUGCCAUAGGCUAGAAUCCCAGCUUCAUCUCAGGGGCAGCUGGUCUGUGGGCCAUCCCUAAUCGGAUGCUGAUGGAAAGAAUAUUCCCAGGGAAUAUGGCUCCUUCCCCUUCCCAUUUCCUCUACUCAACACCGUGCACUUAUCCUCUUAAAGAAGGUCGGCUUCCUGUUGUAUAUUCUACUUGAAAGUAAGGCAGAUGGGGCCUGUCACUCGUGGCAGGUUUCCUGGAGGUGGGAACUUUUGACCCAGUCCGAACAGUGGUAAAAUUCAUAAGCCCAGAUGACGUAGAAUUGGGGCUCACAGAUGUUCACUUUACACAGAGCACCUCCGACAUGCCAGUGCUGGUGGUAGAGCCGUGAACGACAGACACAAAGUCCUGCCCUCGUUGCACCCGGGCACUUCGUCUUUUAAAUUGUUAUUAAGGUUGACAGGAAGCCAUCAAAAUGCUGGAGGAGAAAGCAGGCAAAAACCUGCUUGUAGCAGGUUUUGAUCUUGCCCGAAGCAAUUUCUUACUCAACAGGUCUCCGGAGGCAAGGGAAACAAAAGCAAAAAUGAACUUCUGGGACCUCAUCAAAAUAAAAAGCUUCUGCACAGCGAAGGAAACAAUCAGCAAAACUAAAAGGCAACCGACAGAAUGGGAGAAGAUAUUUGCAAAGGACAUAUCCGAUAAAGGGUUAGUAUCCAGAAUCUACAAAGAACUUCUCAAACUCAACACCCAAAAAACAAAUAAUCCCGUGAAGAAAUGGGCAAAAGACAUGAAUAGACCCUUCUCCAAAGACAUCCAGAUGGCCAACCAACACAUGAAAAAAUGCUCAACUUCACUCAUCAUCAGGGAAAUACAAAUCAAAACCACAAUGAGAUACCACUUCACACCUGUCAGAAUGGCUAACAUUAACAACUCAGGCAACAACAGAUGUUGGCGAGGAUGCGGAGAAAGAGGAACCCUUUUGCACUGCUGGGGGGAAUGCAAACUGGGGCAGCCAUUCUGGAAAACAGUAUGGAGGUUUCUCAAAAAACUAAAAAUAGAACUACCCUAUAACCCAGCAAUUGCGCUACUAGGUAUUUAUCCAAGGGAUAUAGGAGUGCUGUUUUGAAGGGGCACAUGCACCCCAAUGUUUACAGCAGCACUAUCAACAAUAGCCAAAGUAUGGAAAGAGCCCAAAUGUCCAUCGAUGGACGAAUGGAGAAAGAAAAUGUGGUAUAUAUAUACAAUGGAGUAUUACUCGGCAAUCCAAAAGAAUGAAAUCUUGCCAUUUGCAACUACGUGGAUGGAACUGGAGGGUGUUAUGCUAAGUGAAAUGAGUCAGUCAGAGAAAGACAAAAAUCAUAUGACUUCACUCCUAUGAGGACUUUAAGAGACAAAACAGAUGAACAUAAGGGAAGGGAAACAAAAAAUAAUAUGAAAACGGAGGGGGACAGAACAGAAGAGACUCAUAAAUAUGGAGAACAAACUGAGGGUAGUUGGAGGGGUUGUGGGAGGGGGGAUGGGCUAAAUGGGUAAGGGGCACUAAGGAAUCUACCGAAAUCAUUGCUUCGCUAUAUACUAACUAAUUAGGAUGUAAAUUUUAAAAAAUAAAAAAUAAAGUUAAGCCAAAAAAAAUUGUUAUUGAGGUUAAAAGAUGCGUAACAUAAAGUUUGUCGCCUUAACCGUGUCUAAGUUCACAGUUCAGUGGCGAUGAGUUCAUUCACAUCCCUACUGCCCAUCUCCAGACCUCUUCAUCUUCCCAAACUGAACCGCUGUACCCGUUCAACACUGACUCCCCGUGCCCCUCCCCCAUUCCCUGCCAGCUGCCAUUUGAUUUUCGGUCUCUACAAAUUGGACUAUUCUAGGAACCUCCCAUGAGAAGAAUCAUGAGGUGUUUGUCUUUUUGCGACUGGCUUAUUUCACUUAGCAUAACGUCCUGACGGUCAUUCGUGUUAUCCAUGUUGUAGCAGCAUGUGUCAGAAUGGCCCUCCCUUUUUUGGCUGAAAAAUAUUCCGUUGCAUGUAUAUAUCACAUUUUGUUUAUCCCAUUCAUCUGUCAGUGGACCAAUGGACACUUGGGUUCCUUCCACCUUUUCCCUUUACUCUAAAAUAUUAUUAAACUGGUUACUAAUAAUGAAAAAUGGGGAGGCCUCACGUACAAACCCUGACAUCUGCUAUGUCUUGAAAAACUAGAAGAGGGGCGCCUGGGCGGCUCAGUCGGUUAAACGUCCGGCUUUGGCUCAGGUCACGAUCUCUCGGUUUGUUGAGUUCGAGCCCCACGUCGCACUCUGUGCUGACAGCUCAGAGCCUGAAGCCUGCUUCGGAUUUGUGUCCCCUCUCCCUCUGCCGCUUCCCCGCAUGCACUUGGUCAUGUUCUGUCUCUCACAAUUAGAUGAACAUUAAAAAAAAAAAAAAAAAGAUGAAAAGAGCAAAUGUUUAAAAAAAAAAAGAAAAAGAAAACUAGAAGAAACAGUAGCCCUGAGUCGCUGCUCUCAUGGUCAGCCCCUCCCUCCCACGUCCCCCACAUCCCCAGACCUGCGGGCCAGUUUCUGCCUCAACAGUGCUUUAUCCUCACCUAGGCCUUGCGGUUCCUGGAGGGGGUGGGAAAGGACCGUUAAGUGCUUGUGGGUUGGUCACCUGUUUGUCUUAAAUAUUUUUUGUUUUAAGUUUACUUAUGUAUUUUGAGAGAGACAGUGAAAGCAUGAGCUGGGGAGGGCCAGAGAGAGAGAGAGAGAGAGAGAGGGAGGGAGAGAGAGAAUCCCAAGCAGGCUCUGUGCCAUCAGCACAGAGCCCGACAUGGAGCUCUAACUCACCAAGCCAUGAGAGAUCAUGACCUGAGCCAAAAUCAAGAGUCGGACGCUUAACUGACUGAGCCACCCAAGUGCCCUUAAAUAUUUUUUAAUAACAAUUUUGAAAGAGAAAGUUGUAGCAGAGUGGGAAUAAAAUGCCACCGUUUAUAUGAAAAAGAACAUUAGCACUUAUAUAUGGCUGCGCACGUGUAGAGGAGAAAAGGAGCCCACAGCUCUGGAGGAAGGACAAAGAUAGCAGGAGGCUUGAGUUAAAUUUUAUUUAUUUCCUUUUCCACAUUAAAAGUUUUUAAUGGGGAAAAAAAGUUUAAGAACCCCAGCUAGGCCCCUCUCCCCUUGGGCAAAAUCAGAAGUCUCUAUAGGUGUCUCCCGCUUUAAGAAAACCAGCUUGAGAGGGGCUCCUGGGUGGCUUCAUCAGUUAAGCGGCCCACUUCUGCUAAGGUCAUGAUCUCAUGGUUGGUGAGUUUGAGUUCCGUGUGGGGCUCUGUGCUAACAACAGGGAGCCUGCUUGUGAUUCUCUCUCUCUCUCUCUCUCUGCCCCUCUCCUGCACUCGUGCGUCUGUGUGUGUGUGUGUGUGUGUGUGUGUCUCAAAAAGUGAAUAAAGGCUAAAAAAAAUAAAAUAA